CCCUUAGAUGUUCUGGGCUGCACGCGUGCUACACUGAUAUUGCCAAUAUGUCAUUCUUAUCCGAAAUGGAUUGGGUAAUCAAGUAAUGAAAUUUCAUGCCUGGAAUCGGUAAUUGCAAUUUUAUCGUGAACGAGGAAUUCCUAGUAAGCACUAGUCAUCAGCUAAUGUUGAUUAUGUCCCUGCCCUUUGUACACACCGCCCGUCGCUACUACUGAUUGGGUGUUCAAGUGAGAUGCUUAGACCCUUGUUGCAUGGUUCAUUAUUGUGCUCCGAAAGGAAAAAGUUUCAAGCUUGAGUGUCUAGAGGAAGUAAAAGUCGUAACA
RNAcentral lists this ribosomal RNA (323 nucleotides) under uncultured eukaryote. RNAcentral's name for it is "partial 18S ribosomal RNA". It matches the Rfam family "Eukaryotic small subunit ribosomal RNA", at positions 1470 to 1796 of the family's 1831-position model. The record is from RNAcentral.